CGCGCGGUGUACUCCCAGAUGGCGUCCGGGUCGAGCAGUGCCUGCUCGCCGAAGUAGGCCCCGUCGGCGAGGACGCCGAGGACGGCGUCGUCGCCGUACGGGCCAGUGCCGAUCUUCUCCACCCUGCCGUGGGCGAGCAGAUACACCUCGUCGCUCUGGUUGCCGAAAUCGGCAAUCACCUCGCCAGGUCCGAAGUCACGCUGACGGCAGCGCCGGGCCAGCUCUGUCAGCACCUCCUCGUCCUCGUAGGAGCGCAGGGCGGGCAGUUCGCCGAGCUCCGCCGGGAUGACCUCCACCUGGUCCCCGGUCUUUACGAAGGUGAUGCGGCCGUCGCCGACGGUGUACGCCAGCCGCCGGUUCACCCGGUACGUUCCGCCCUGGACGUCCGCCCAGGGAAGCGUGCGCAGCAACCAGCGGGAGCUGAUCUCCUGCAUCUGCGGAACGGACUUGGUGGUGGUGGCCAGGUUCCGCGCCGCCGCCGUCCCGAGGGACUGUUGCGG
Molecule: non-coding RNA, 500 nt
Organism: Streptomyces pluripotens
Lineage: Bacteria; Bacillati; Actinomycetota; Actinomycetes; Kitasatosporales; Streptomycetaceae
Rfam family: Saccharopolyspora sRNA 350
Source: Rfam